Molecule: ribosomal RNA, 450 nt
Filed under: uncultured bacterium
Lineage: Bacteria
Description: partial 16S ribosomal RNA
Rfam family: Bacterial small subunit ribosomal RNA
Source: RNAcentral
CCUACGGGGGGCAGCAGUGAGGAAUAUUGGUCAAUGGACGCAAGUCUGAACCAGCCAUGCCGCGUGAAGGAUGAAUGCCCUACGGGUUGUAAACUUCUUUUGUACGAGGCGAAUCUCUUCUACGUGUAGAGGACUGACAGUUUCGUACGAAUAAGCAUCGGUUAACUCCGUGCCAGCAGCCGCGGUAAUACGGAGGAUGCAAGCGUUAUCCGGAUUUAUUGGGUUUAAAGGGUGCUUAGGUGGGAGAGGUGAAAUAUUGCAGCUUAACUGUAAAAUUGCCUUUGAUACUGUAGUUCUUGAGUUCAGUUGAGGUGGGCGGAAUGUGUAAUGUAGCGGUGAAAUGCUUAGAUAUUACACAGAACACCAAUUGCGUAGGCAGCUCACUAAACUGACACUGACACUGAGGCACGAAAGCGUGGGGAUCAAACAGGAUUAGAUACCCUUGUAGUC